CGGGUGAGUAACACGUGGAUAACCUGCCUCACACAGGGGAUAACAGUUAGAAAUGACUGCUAAUACCGCAUAAGCGCACGGUACCGCAUGGUACAGUGCGAAAAACUCCGGUGGUGUGAGAUGGAUCCGCGUCUGAUUAGGUAGUUGGUGAGGUAACGGCCCACCAAGCCGACGAUCAGUAGCCGACCUGAGAGGGUGAUCGGCCACAUUGGGACUGAGACACGGCCCAA
RNAcentral lists this ribosomal RNA (230 nucleotides) under uncultured bacterium. Its description in RNAcentral is "partial 16S ribosomal RNA". It matches the Rfam family "Bacterial small subunit ribosomal RNA", at positions 103 to 334 of the family's 1533-position model. The record is from RNAcentral.